This 63-nucleotide transfer RNA is filed under the name Ictidomys tridecemlineatus (thirteen-lined ground squirrel). RNAcentral's name for it is "Spermophilus tridecemlineatus (thirteen-lined ground squirrel) tRNA". It matches the Rfam family "tRNA", at positions 5 to 66 of the family's 71-position model. Rfam says of the family: Transfer RNA (tRNA) molecules are approximately 80 nucleotides in length. Their secondary structure includes four short double-helical elements and three loops (D, anti-codon, and T loops). The record is from Rfam by way of RNAcentral. RNAcentral also lists the same sequence under 1 other name. Lineage: Eukaryota; Metazoa; Chordata; Mammalia; Rodentia; Sciuridae.
GUGUAGCUCAGUGGUAGAGCACUUGCUUAAUAUGCAUGAGACCCUGGGUUUGAUCCCUAUCAC